This 1000-nucleotide ribosomal RNA is filed under the name Bacillus altitudinis. Its description in RNAcentral is "bacterial SSU rRNA". It matches the Rfam family "Bacterial small subunit ribosomal RNA", at positions 38 to 1018 of the family's 1533-position model. Lineage: Bacteria; Bacillati; Bacillota; Bacilli; Caryophanales; Bacillaceae. The record is from RNAcentral.
GGAGUCGGCGUCCUAUACAUGCAGUCGAGCGGACAGAAGGGAGCUUGCUCCCGGAUGUUAGCGGCGGACGGGUGAGUAACACGUGGGUAACCUGCCUGUAAGACUGGGAUAACUCCGGGAAACCGGAGCUAAUACCGGAUAGUUCCUUGAACCGCAUGGUUCAAGGAUGAAAGACGGUUUCGGCUGUCACUUACAGAUGGACCCGCGGCGCAUUAGCUAGUUGGUGAGGUAACGGCUCACCAAGGCGACGAUGCGUAGCCGACCUGAGAGGGUGAUCGGCCACACUGGGACUGAGACACGGCCCAGACUCCUACGGGAGGCAGCAGUAGGGAAUCUUCCGCAAUGGACGAAAGUCUGACGGAGCAACGCCGCGUGAGUGAUGAAGGUUUUCGGAUCGCAAAGCUCUGUUGUUAGGGAAGAACAAGUGCAAGAGUAACUGCUUGCACCUUGACGGUACCUAACCAGAAAGCCACGGCUAACUACGUGCCAGCAGCCGCGGUAAUACGUAGGUGGCAAGCGUUGUCCGGAAUUAUUGGGCGUAAAGGGCUCGCAGGCGGUUUCUUAAGUCUGAUGUGAAAGCCCCCGGCUCAACCGGGGAGGGUCAUUGGAAACUGGGAAACUUGAGUGCAGAAGAGGAGAGUGGAAUUCCACGUGUAGCGGUGAAAUGCGUAGAGAUGUGGAGGAACACCAGUGGCGAAGGCGACUCUCUGGUCUGUAACUGACGCUGAGGAGCGAAAGCGUGGGGAGCGAACAGGAUUAGAUACCCUGGUAGUCCACGCCGUAAACGAUGAGUGCUAAGUGUUAGGGGGUUUCCGCCCCUUAGUGCUGCAGCUAACGCAUUAAGCACUCCGCCUGGGGAGUACGGUCGCAAGACUGAAACUCAAAGGAAUUGACGGGGGCCCGCACAAGCGGUGGAGCAUGUGGUUUAAAUUCGAAGCAACGCGAAGAACCUUACCAGGUCUUGACAUCCUCUGACAACCCUAGGAGAUAGGCUUCCCUU